GGCGAACGGGUGAGUAAUAUAUUGGAACGUACCGAGUAAUGGGGGAUAACCAAUCGAAAGAUUGGCUAAUACCGCAUACGCUCUGAGGAGGAAAGCAGGGGACCUUCGGGCCUUGCGUUAUUCGAGCGGCCAAUAUCUGAUUAGCUAGUUGGUGGGGUAAAGGCCUACCAAGGCGACGAUCAGUAGCGGGUCUGAGAGGAUGAUCCGCCACACUGGGACUGAGACACGGCCCAG
RNAcentral lists this ribosomal RNA (234 nucleotides) under uncultured Neisseriales bacterium. RNAcentral describes it as "partial 16S ribosomal RNA". It matches the Rfam family "Bacterial small subunit ribosomal RNA", at positions 97 to 334 of the family's 1533-position model. The record is from RNAcentral. Lineage: Bacteria; Pseudomonadati; Pseudomonadota; Betaproteobacteria; Neisseriales.